CCAAGCGCCUUGCUGGAGAUCCUUCAGCUGCCUCUGGGAAGAGUCCUGACCUUCCAAGGUCUUGUCUCCUUCUCCUCCACCCCAAGACCCUGAGAAUGGAAGGGAUGAGCUUCCCCAGUCCUCACCAUCACCCGCUUCCUCCCGCUCAGAAUCAUUGCUUUCUCUGUUGAUCAAUUUCCAAUCAAUCACCCCAACUGUUCGUGGGCCCAGAACAAUUGACAUUUGUUCUGCAGAUGCCCUUCCUGGAGGCACAGCUGGAUCUGCAUCAAGGCCUUCUCCAGAAUUGGGAACACAGCUUAAAGGGCCCCCACACCCUGUUGGCAGGGAGAUAUCUGUGUGAUCAGUGUCCAGGAAGCCAUGAGCCCUCAGUGCUGGUCAUUGUACCCAGUACUAAUGAGGACAGUGGGCAGCUGGUAUCUGUUGGGGGUAAGGAUAGGGGUGGUUUAUGAGGCAGAAUUAUUGCAACUACAUCUAAGUAGUUAACCAGAAGCAAUUUUUCCCCCUUGCUGCGAGUGGAACCCAGGGCCUCAUGCAUGCCAGGCAAGGGGGUGUACCACUGAGCUGCACCCCCAGCCCAGGAGCAAUCUAUUUCCAGAGGCAUCGACUGUUUUGAAACUCAUGCGUGAUUUCUCACCUAUAGUGAGUCAGCAAGGCUAGUCCUACUGUCCCGAAUCAUUUCCAUGACCUUGGUGGUGCUCAGUGACAUCCUACUUUCCAAUCAGCUAUGACUCUCCCGAAUGCAUGCCUGCCCUUCUUCCCUCUGGUUUAUCAUAGGAGCAACCAACCACAAUAAAUCGCCACAGGCCUUGAAUGCUUACGCGGACUGUUCAUCCACUGAAAUUUGUCACCACAAUCCUAUCAAGUCAGAAUUUAGGUUAUCCCCAUUUUAUAGAGGAGAAACCAAGGUGUGGGGCGGCAAGAAGCUUGCUAUCAAUGUUACAGCUGAUCCAUGGGGGAGCAGAGGCUCCAGCCCCGAUCUCUAAGUGAGUCCUCUUAACCACUCUGCUGGAGAGCCUUCUCCUGUGGAUAGAAAGGCCUGGUUUCAUUGGGACAGCCCCUUCCCCAAGCCCUCUUCUGCACAGCCCAGGGCCACCCACCAGUUGGCAGCCCUGCCACCACUCAGUCCCCGCUGCCUGCAGUUAAUUAUUCUAAAAAGACAUUUGCAAGCCCAGCUCUGUGGGUCUAAUGUGUUCUCCCUUUUGCUAAUUUAAUAAUCCUGUUUUCAGAAACGGGUGUGCUUUUAAAAUUCGUUUGCUGGGCUGAUCGCUCUGCAGAUACUUCCUGAUGCUGGUUUUCUUCUUUGAACACAGGCUCACAAAGCCCUGUGGGUUUCAAGAUUAAGACCCAUGAUUUGUGACUGGGGUGUCUGCUCCUCGGCUCUCUGUUGUGGUCAGCUGCAGGCGUCAGGCAGGGCCAGUCUGAAAUCCUGAAAAAUCUAACAUACCAGAUCGCCCAAAGAAGAGGCAGCUUGGCUUCUACUGCCUCCGGAGCCACUGGGAUUACAGGCGUACACCACCACAUCUGGCAUUGAAGAUCCAUUUGGGAGACAAAACAAAUGGUUUGUUUGAACAGAAGAAACUAAUGCAAAGAACUGUUAGCCAGGUAUGUCUGUCUAUCUAUUUAUCUACAUAUACAUUCAUUCACCAAUCCAUCUUAUUUUUAAUGCAUUUCAAAAUAAAUGGCAGGCAUUUCCCUCAAAACUCCAUUAUUCACAUCUUAACUUAAAAUGUAAUGUUUAAAAUUUUUUUCUUUUAAUGUAAACUUUACAUAAAUGAUAGGCAAAAAUCCUAAGUAUACAUUUGCUGUGUUUUGGCAGAAGUAUACACUAAUGUGACUUAAAUUGCUAUCCAAAUAUAUGAAAUUGCCAUCACCCCAGAAAAUUCCUUCAUUCACAUUCUCAGGCAAUUUCUUGCAAAUUCAACCCCUGUUCUGAUUUUUUUCCACCAUAUAUUAAUUUGGCCAAAUUUUCUCAACCUCAGCAUUUUUCUUUUCUUUUUCUCCUCACAACCUGUUCCCUUGGCUGUGAUUUUGCUGGACUGCAAGGUAGGGACAGUAGGAAUCUCAUUCAUCCCCUCAUGCUCAUCACUAAUUAGAUGAUGAGACAUUUGGCUACCUUAAGAGAGUCAUAGUUACUUUGCAUUGAAUUUGUUCAGUUUGACAUUCUAACACUGGGAGGAAUCAUAUUGCAUUAAUACCUGUGUAAACUAUUAACAUUUUGGCCUAAAUAAUUCUUUGUUUUUUGAGUGAGCUGUCCUGUGCACUAAUUUAGCCUGUCUUAUAAGUUCACAUAAGUAGAAUGUAUUCUUUUUGGUUUAGCUUCUUUUCAUGUAAUGUAGUUUUUGUGAGAUUCAUCAUUGUUGUUUUCUGUAUCAUUGAGUGUACUUUUUAUGUUGAAUAGUAUUCCAUUAUAUAGCUAUAUCACAGUUUGUUUAUUCAUUCUUCUGUUAAUGGACACCUGGACCCUUUCCAAGAUUGGUUAUUAUGAAUAAAGCUGCUAUGGAUGUC
Ictidomys tridecemlineatus (thirteen-lined ground squirrel) is the source of this 2505-nucleotide non-coding RNA. The record is from RefSeq and is a predicted model, not a curated record. NCBI's taxonomy places the organism in Eukaryota, Metazoa, Chordata, Mammalia, Rodentia, Sciuridae.